UAAAUAAGCGGAGGAAAAGAAACUAACUAGGAUUGGUCCAGUAACGGCGAGUGAAGCGCCAUUAGCCCAGCCUGUGAAUCGUCACUUGUGUCGAAUUGUGGUCUGCAGGUCUUUUCGUUCUGCUGGUGGACAAAGUCCCCUGGAACGGGGCAGCGUAGAGGGUGAGACUCCCGUACGUCCGCAUGCAUGAGAAGAGACCGUCGAGUCGAGUUGUUUGGGAUUGCAGCUCCAAUUGGGUGGUAAAUUCCAUCCAAGGCUAAAUACUGGUGAGAGACCGAUAGCGUACAAGUACCGUGAGGGAAAGAUGCAAAGCCGCGCGAGAGCGCUGUCAAAGAGUACCUGAACUUGCUGAAAAGGAAGCAAAGGGAACCAGUGUGAGCCACACCGCAUUUCCCCAUUCGCUUGCGAUUGAGGCGCUGCGGCUGGCGUUGUCCAUGUUGGCGGCUAGCAGUGGAAGAGUUUCGACUGGCGCUGCAAGCUGCUGACUUGGACGAAAUGGUUCUCUUUUUCCCG
RNAcentral lists this ribosomal RNA (513 nucleotides) under Entomoneis ornata. RNAcentral's name for it is "eukaryotic LSU rRNA". It matches the Rfam family "Eukaryotic large subunit ribosomal RNA", at positions 43 to 651 of the family's 3401-position model. Lineage: Eukaryota; Bacillariophyta; Bacillariophyceae; Surirellales; Surirellaceae. The record is from RNAcentral.